Anas platyrhynchos (mallard) is the source of this 5070-nucleotide non-coding RNA. The record is from RefSeq and is a predicted model, not a curated record. NCBI's taxonomy places the organism in Eukaryota, Metazoa, Chordata, Aves, Anseriformes, Anatidae.
CCCUGAGGUCAGGCUGACCAGAUGACAGCUCCCUGAUUAAGUGCUGCUACAUGGGGAGGAUCAGGCAGUUUCGGUGGCGUGCUCUUUGGGUCAUACUGGAGCACGCUGUAAUUUCACAGUUACCACUGUUAAGGGCUGCCUUGCCACGUUUUAUGCUGACAUCAGCCAGUUAUCAGACUGGGACUGACUGGGAGCAGCGGAACCUCAUGUCUAUAGCAGAAGGUCUGUGCUUCAAAGCCUAUGGAAAAAGAAAUCAGCACUGGCCACCCUAAAGGGAGACAAAAACAACAGAAGACUAAAAAACAGGAAAUACGUGCAAGGAAUCACUGUGGAGCGUGAAGGAAACAGGGUGCAUGAUGUAUGAGGGGAAAACAUUAUGAGUUAGCUCUGCUUAUACAGAAAAUCACUGUGAGAUUUAUUAGUAGCUCCCCAGGAACAACACCAAGCCCUGUAUAAGUGGGCAGUGAAUGAAAACAGGAGGUCUGGUACUGGACUGCUAACGAGUUACAUCCUCCCAUGCUCAAUGUGUGCAUUCAGAUAUUAAGACAUACACAGAUUCAAAAUAGCAAAAGCCCAUGAUGAAUUAGUUCUAAAAAAAGUUGCUAGGUUCCUAGAAGACAAUUUAACGCCAAGCUUUUUUUUGUCCUAUGGAGAAGGUCUAAUAAUUUCUUAAUACCCUAUGAAGAAUUUACCUAAUUUCACAAACUACAGUUGCACAUAAACACGCUGAAACAGACUGUAAAUUUCAGAAAUGAUCUGCAAUUAAAAAUUUUACAUGAACCUUGUCUUGCUGGCAUUUCAGUCAAGAAGAGAUUACUUUCAGUGUUCUUCACAGGAGCUGAAAAAAGUUUAAAACAUGUAGUGAUAAUAACUCUUUAUAUUCAGUAAUGAAAAUGAAAAGGCACCACUGUGUUAGCAGUCUGCUAAGAGCUGGGUAACAUAGAAGACCUGAAAUUCACUGAAAAACCAACAACCAAACAAACUCAAAAGCCCACAGAAGCCCAGAACUGGCUUGCUGGAGAAAAGCCCCAUAGCACAUUUGCUGUGAUGCAAUAUCAACAGAUAUUUAUGCAUCGUCAAAUAUUAAUUAUGACAGAGACAUAAGCAUCGUGCCUUGAAAAAAUAUUUUGUUUGAGGAUUGUGCACAGAUUAUUAAAAGGUCAAAGCAAACAGGAAAUUAUUCAUAUCACAGGACUUUGGAAUCUCCUGCCACUUAAAUGGAUGAACAUACUGUGCCUCAUCACCUCCAAUUAUGAUGGGAAUGAUUUAAACGCGUAUUAUCUUAUUCAAGCAACUGUGAAUGCAAAAGAUACAAAAGAUCAAAGGAUAAAAUACGUGCUAGAAGACCUGUAAAAGUGCUUCCAAAGCGCAGCAUGCUUUUAGGGCCUGGGGUGGAAAGCUCAAAUGACAAAUGGAAACCAAAGGCUUUAAAGUCCUUAGCAAAUACUAAAUAUCAAUUUGUAAUUGAAACACUUGUGGGAAAAACCACUUUGACACAAUGGAUGGUGCACGAUGGAACAAAAGAUCUUAAAGGCAGAAUACAAGGCCUUGGGGACCCCAGUAGUAUACCCGAAGACUAAAUGACAGAUCUGAAAACUGUAACUUCAUUCAGGCUACCGGAUGCACCACAAACAGAAAGUUGAGCAGACGAAACCAGAGAAUCAAGGGGAAGUAUUACAGUGAUGCAGGAAACCCAGUGGAAAAGUAAUAUUUUCAAACCCAAGGGAACAAAAAACUAUGUGUAACUAUAUAUAUUGUAUAACUGAGGAGGAUUAGGUGAAAGACAAGGAAUAAUCCUCUCAUGCCAGGAAAAUUCAGUCAUCUAAUUCAAACUCCUGAUCCAGAAGAAAAUAUUUUGGUUUGUUUGCAAGAGUUUUGGCUUACAUGUUGUCAUGAGGAGAUGACAGAAGAUUAUACUUAAUGUUGCUAUCCAGGACAUUAAGUCUGAGCACUGUUUGGAGACAGAUGUCACCAAGAAAAACUCAAUCUGUUGUAGGGAAAAUUCUUGCCUGCAGAAGUAGGGCUGGUUUUAUCUUUCAACCAUUUCAGAAGUUUUGUGAUUUUGCAGAAAUGAAUACCAUUGGACCCUGUUCUAAUGCAGGUCUCCAGGCAUUAGCGCAGUGGAAAUACAGAAAUAAUUGGAAAUCAGUACCUCAGCUUGGUAUUAAAGUGGCUUGCUCAUUUACUGGCACUGUUUCAUAUCAAUUGAGAGGUAAGGAAAAAGAUUAUGAACAUUAGCUGUAGAUUCCCGUUGCAAUUUUUGCAAGGGUAUAAGGGUAGUUUUAGCAUCAUUACAUUUUGACUGUGCCCAUCUAUAUUUUGGCUUCAGAGAUUGUAUUUUGCCUUUGCUUUCUCUUCUAAAUUGUUGUUCAAGGUUGAUGUGUUACAUGAUUUCUGAUUGGCUUCUACCUCAGAGCUGCACUUCAGCAAUUGUUAGAGCCUCCCCCAAGGUUUAUAUAUAACUUUCAGAAGAAAGGGAUUAUACAAAUACAUUAUAAAAUCAUUAUAAUUGUUUAUGAUGGGCUUGGUAGGAAGAAGUACUGACUACCUGCACCUCUUAAAAAAGAGUUGCAACACAUCCCCAGCGUGCCUCAACUGGAAGUUUUGUAAUAAUAACAUUACAAACACUAGAGAAAUGUGAUGAAAGUGCAAAAGCAUUACUCAACCAUGCUACUGCAAAUGCUUCCAAAACCCUGAAGUAGUGCAGUUUUUAUAGGGGACGAUCUAAUGAUGCACACUGUUUGUUAUUAUGCUGCCAUGGCCACCUAGCGAGGAAAGUGCUUAAAAGAAAGUGAAUAUAGACGGCACACCUACACCAGCCUUGGCAUCGGUCCUCUGUUGGACGUGGAAACAAAGGUCUUUUGCCGAGUAUGUUGGUGGAUAAAUUAAGCUGUGCUCCUGAAGGAGAGGAGGAUGUCACAUUCCUUGAGCUGUAUUUAUUUUGUAAUCUCAUACAUUCAGUGAUGCCCAAACUUUGGAGACACUUCAGCCAGGUGCUCCAUCUGCUGGAGGUCCCACCACGGACAAACAGCCCAUCCUGUGCCAAAUGCCCAUUUCCACUGCCUCCUUUUGUCACAGUCAUGCUACGUUAAAGUAGCUGCUACAUGGAUUCUCUCAUAGGUUUGCAAUAUUCCUAUCUUAUCAGCUGGCUUUUGUGUUUGGGCAACCCUUGACCCACAUGGUUAUUACCACUAUGAGUACUGCGGCUUUUUUUUGAUUGGAAACCGAUUACUUAACAUGCAAACAACAAAGACGUAGGACUGGGAGCGUGUAAUUGACUGCUUGACUGAGGAGAUCACAGGAACGCUAACAUGACGAACCUCUGAGUCACGGUGAGUCUCUUGGAGAGGCUGAGAGGAAAGGAAACUCACAUAUGUAGUGAAAACUUCAGUCACCACCAAGGCAGGUUACAUAUGUCCAGACAUGGUGCUAGGAUUGAAGGUUUGGAUGUCAUAAAUAACUUCUCCAUUAAACGGGUAGCUUGUGACAAGUGGAAGAACAAUUCUUCAUUUUGUCCUGACUUUGAAAACACUUUUUUAUUUUUUAUUUUUAUUUUUUACUGUGAAUGUGGUCCAACACUGGAACAGGUUGCCUAGAGUGGUUGUGGAAUCUCCACCUGUGGAGAUAUUCUAAACCUGACUGGACAUGGUCCCGAGCAACCUGCUCUAGCUGACCCUGCUCGAGCAUGGUGUUGGACCAGACAAUCUCCAAAGGUCCCCUUCAACUUCACUAAUUCUUUAAUACUGCAAAAAUGUGGAGCUCCACUGAAAUGAGGAAAAUACAAAUGAAUAUACACUACAGCAAGUAUAUACAAAAGCAAAAUAAUGCAAAACUUUAAAAAAUGUAAGGAACAAAUAACAAAACACACACAAAAAAACUGAUAAUAAAUUCCUUAUCAAACGUGUCAGAAGAAGGAAACUUACCAAAGAAGCCAUGAUCAGUCAAGUUAUACAAAGGAAGUCAGGAAAGACGUGGUAGUACAUUCAGAAUAAACAAACCAAAACAAAACAAACAAGAAGACAUCUAAAAAGGAGUUUGUUUGUUUGUUUGUUUUUCCCCUGUGAUUCUGUUUAAAAAUACUAAAAGGACAUCCAUAGUGAAGAGCUCUGCUGUGGUUGUUACCACUGCAAAAUGACUAAGUGGGCAGGAUUUCAGAUGCAUAAACACUGGUUAAAAUGUAGGAAUCAAAGGAUAGGAAUUAAGAGGCAAUGGAAGGAAGUAGAAAAAAUUACAAUACAUAAUUCUAUGAAAAUAUCAGCACAGGCCUACGUGGUGGCCAAUAAAACAAACAGACCAUUAGAAAAUACUAGAAAAUACCCAUAGAAUAAAACAGAAAACACACCAUUCCUUGGGGACACUCCUAUUUUGUGUACUUUGUAUAGUUCUAGUCUUCUCAUCUGAAAAAGGAUCCAGGAGGACAGUCACUGUACAGGAAGUGAAAACAGGAUAAUUAAAAUUAUAAAGACAUCCAUAUGAGGAAUGAUUAAAUAGAUCAGGAUUCCUCUGUCUGAAAAAACAGAACUAUGAGAGGACGUGAUGGUGAUCUAUGGGAUCACGUGUGGCAUAGAGUAAAUUAAUAGACAGUUGCUCACUGUCACUUCUAAUAUGAGAAGGGAAAUAAAUUAAAGUAGCAGGUGGGAAAUAAAACUAAAAGAAGGAUGUCUAUGCAGCUAAGCUGUGCAACUCUUUGUGGCAGGAGGCUCUAGAUGGUAUACGUUAUUAUGGGUUCAAAAUACAUGGAGGAGAAAGCAUCUUUGAUGAAGAAAAAUGCAGCUACUGUUGAAGAGAACUGCAGCUAUUAUGUAUGAUGACACCAUCACCACAGGCUCCAAACGCCCUGGGUCACAAAGUGCUGAAGGCUGCAGUAACAUCCUGGGGACGUACCAUUACUUGCUCUUGCCUAGGCUCUACUGCCAGUCACUGGAGACAGACGGACUUUGAUCGGACCUGACAAAACUGUUCGCCACGGUAGGCCUUGGUCUGACCCCAUCUGAAUUCCAAUUUCUGCAUGCAUUUCUUCUAGUGAUUGUUAGAGAUUUAAUAAAGAUUGCUGUUUGGCUUACUUGGCAA